GCAGCUACUACUCUCUAGAGAAGGCCUGUGGAUCAUCUUCAUUGUCAUCGUCAUCUGCGUAUCUGCAUCCUCAUCACUGCAUCAUCACCAGCACCAUUUAUUAAACACAAGGCCAGAUGUUUUAUCCUGCUGUGUUAAGUCAUCUUGACAUGUUGCCAUGAAAUGGAAACAACUGCUCGUUUUAAUAUUGCUCCAUAUCUUUAUUACAAGGUGGACCUCCCACCAUCAAGUGGAGCAAUCACAUCCUUGAG
RNAcentral lists this long non-coding RNA (251 nucleotides) under Rhinopithecus bieti (black snub-nosed monkey). RNAcentral describes it as "lncRNA (ENSRBIG00000045158.1)". Lineage: Eukaryota; Metazoa; Chordata; Mammalia; Primates; Cercopithecidae. The record is from RNAcentral.